AAUGAACGCUGGCGGCGUGCCUAAUACAUGCAAGUCGAGCGCCCAACUCAUUUCACUUCUUACCAAUCUUGGUAGGACAACAAAGCGACUAUUUGGAGCUUUGUUAUCACUAACAAGAAUGGACGACUGGCCACGGUAAUAUAAACAUUACAUUGUGGUCGGGGAGUCAAUUGCUUCAGCAAUUGAGCUACCAAGGAGCGAAGCGAGUUGGGAGCGGCGGACGGGUGAGUAACGCGUGAGAAUAUACCCCAGACUGAGGGAUAAGCACCAGAAAUGGUGUCUAAUACCGCAUAACCUCUAAGGAGAAAAGCUUCGGCGGUUUGGGAAUAGCUUGCGUAGGAUUAGCUAGUUGGUGAGGUAAAGGCUCACCAAGGCAAUGAUCUUUAGCUGGUUUGAGAGGAUGAUCAGCCACACUGGAACUGAGACACGGUCCAG
Molecule: ribosomal RNA, 435 nt
Filed under: uncultured bacterium
Lineage: Bacteria
Description: partial 16S ribosomal RNA
Rfam family: Bacterial small subunit ribosomal RNA
Source: RNAcentral